This 510-nucleotide ribosomal RNA is filed under the name uncultured bacterium. RNAcentral's name for it is "partial 16S ribosomal RNA". It matches the Rfam family "Bacterial small subunit ribosomal RNA", at positions 28 to 507 of the family's 1533-position model. The record is from RNAcentral.
GACGAACGCUGGCGGCGUGCUUAACACAUGCAGGUCGAACGAAGAGCGACGGCAGCUUGCUUCUAUCAAUCUUAGUGGCGGACGGGUGAGUAAUGCGUAAUCAACCUGCCCUUCAGAGGGGGACAACAGUUGGAAACGACUGCUAAUACCGCUUACGAUCCAAUCCCGGCAUCGAGGAUGGAAGAAAGGCGGCCUCUACAUGUAAGCCAUCACUGAAGGGGGGGAUUGCGUCUGAUUAGCUCGCUGGAGGGGUAACGGCCGACCAAGGCGAGGAUCAGUAGCCGGGCCGGAGGGAAGGACGGCCACCUUGGGACUGAGACCCGGCCCAGGCUUCUACGGGGAGGAGCAAUGGGGGAACAUCCGAAAUGGGGGGAAAUCUGGCGGAGGAAAGCCGGCGGGGAUGAGGCGGCCUUCGGGUUGGAAAAGUAUGUUAAUCGGGGCGAAAGGCAUUAUUGCGAAUAGUGAGAAGGAUUGACGUUACCGGAAUAAGAAGCAACGGCUAACUACGUG